RNAcentral lists this ribosomal RNA (1044 nucleotides) under Alternaria alternata. RNAcentral's name for it is "SSU rRNA". It matches the Rfam family "Eukaryotic small subunit ribosomal RNA", at positions 77 to 1116 of the family's 1831-position model. Lineage: Eukaryota; Fungi; Ascomycota; Dothideomycetes; Pleosporales; Pleosporaceae. The record is from RNAcentral.
UACCGUGAAACUGCAAUGGCUCAUUAAAUCAGUUAUCGUUUAUUUGAUAAUACCUUACUACUUGGAUAACCGUGGUAAUUCUAGAGCUAAUACAUGCUGAAAAUCCCGACUUCGGAAGGGAUGUGUUUAUUAGAUAAAAAACCAAUGCCCUUCGGGGCUUUUUGGUGAUUCAUGAUCACUUUACGGAUCGCAUAGCCUUGCGCUGGCGACGGUUCAUUCAAAUUUCUGCCCUAUCAACUUUCGAUGGUAAGGUAUUGGCUUACCAUGGUUUCAACGGGUAACGGGGAAUUAGGGUUCGAUUCCGGAGAGGGAGCCUGAGAAACGGCUACCACAUCCAAGGAAGGCAGCAGGCGCGCAAAUUACCCAAUCCCGACACGGGGAGGUAGUGACAAUAAAUACUGAUACAGGGCUCUUUUGGGUCUUGUAAUUGGAAUGAGUACAAUUUAAACCUCUUAACGAGGAACAAUUGGAGGGCAAGUCUGGUGCCAGCAGCCGCGGUAAUUCCAGCUCCAAUAGCGUAUAUUAAAGUUGUUGCAGUUAAAAAGCUCGUAGUUGAAACUUGGGCCUGGCUGGCGGGUCCGCCUCACCGCGUGCACUCGUCCGGCCGGGCCUUCCUUCUGAAGAACCUCAUGCCCUUCACUGGGCGUGCUGGGGAAUCAGGACUUUUACUUUGAAAAAAUUAGAGUGUUCAAAGCAGGCCUUUGCUCGAAUACGUUAGCAUGGAAUAAUAAAAUAGGGCGUGCGUUUCUAUUUUGUUGGUUUCUAGAGACGCCGCAAUGAUUAACAGGAACAGUCGGGGGCAUCAGUAUUCAGUUGUCAGAGGUGAAAUUCUUGGAUUUACUGAAGACUAACUACUGCGAAAGCAUUUGCCAAGGAUGUUUUCAUUAAUCAGUGAACGAAAGUUAGGGGAUCGAAGACGAUCAGAUACCGUCGUAGUCUUAACCGUAAACUAUGCCGACUAGGGAUCGGGCGAUGUUCUUUUUCUGACUCGCUCGGCACCUUACGAGAAAUCAAAGUUUUGUAUUCUGUGUGAUAUAACCGACG